GUUUUUCGCACUAGUUCGAUUCGAACCGAUGCGAAUGCUAUGAAAAAAAAAUUGAAAUAUCUUCUUUCUUUCUAUUUCCUUAAAAUCUCAUCCUUUCUCACCUACCUUAACUUCUCUCUCUUCCUUAAUUCUUCUUCAUCUUCUAUGAGGGCUGCGAUUUUGAGCAGCCGCGACUUUCCCAGUCACCGUCAUCCUCACCGAAGCCGCUUCAACGUUCUCAUGACACAUUGUCACCCUCACGUUUCACCUGCUUUCCAUGGCUCCACCACUAUCGUCACUCGUCGCCGUCGUAUUCUUCUCCGCUCCUCCAAAUAUUUCCUUUAUCAAUGUCUUCUGCAUAGAUUUGGUCUAACGCUCAAGCAUUCAAAGACCACCCUUUUCUUUUGAGAUGAAGGCUAAUAUGGAGGGUUACUAUGAGGAUGAGAUCAAGAUGCAUCUGGCUGCUGUUCCCUCUUCUCGGCAUAUUGAGCCAAUUGAGGAUGUGCACUUUCAGGGCAGGCAACUAAAAGAAGCACCAGCUCCCGUUGGUUAUCAUUAGAGCAAUACAUAAGUCUGCAUACUGCCACGUAUAUGGUGCUUGUUUUGUUUCAUAAUCUAUUGGCAUGAAUUUAUAAAACUUCUACUGUUUGUGUGAUUAUUUCCUUCAUUCCUUUUCUAGUCUUUAUGGAGCUUAAACAUUGGUCCAACUUAAUAAGUAUACAACUUAAUAAGUAUACAACAGGUGAUUAUGUAACCUUGUAUGUUAUUUUAUUUUAUAUUCUUUUUUAGACGAAAAUUGUAAUAUUACAGCUUUUUUAAUGA
Molecule: long non-coding RNA, 801 nt
Organism: Chenopodium quinoa (quinoa)
Lineage: Eukaryota; Viridiplantae; Streptophyta; Magnoliopsida; Caryophyllales; Amaranthaceae
Exons: 3
Source: RefSeq, a predicted model, not a curated record